RNAcentral lists this long non-coding RNA (1131 nucleotides) under Bemisia tabaci. RNAcentral's name for it is "lncRNA ENSSWEETPG004972". Lineage: Eukaryota; Metazoa; Arthropoda; Insecta; Hemiptera; Aleyrodidae. The record is from RNAcentral.
AUGCAUACCCUCCGAACUCUCCAUCAUCGUCCUUGCUUUAAGGUCGCUAUAGCCAUAAAAAACCCCGGCGACGGACUUGGACAGUCACUUGUCGCAGUCACGAAAAUGAACUACACGGUGGUGAUCUGUUUACUGGUGGUAUUUUCCUCUAUUGCAGACUCUUGGGAGGAUGAUGAAGGGUUCGAUGCCCAAGUUCUACGGGCUUAUUCGCUCUCGCAAGACGUCGUCGACGAGAUAGCGCGGGAGAUUCGAAAGCCCAGACGACCGCAGGGCGUGCGAGGACAGGGUCGUGCCCAAAGGAACAUCCAGCCCUAUGGCUACUCCUACGAUUCCUACGAAUUAGCAGCUGGCCCGAGAGCGGUUCGCAAUGAAGACUUCCAGGAGUACAGCUACCCCGAUGGAGAGCUCAUCUCGCACCGAAGAGAUGCAUGCCAACACCCAGCCGAAGAGUAUGGCCGAUACCACCCCACAGCCACAGCGUUCUACCAGGAACCAUACAACCGUGCAAUACACCCUUCGAUAGGAUAUUCGUACGAAAACUAUCAACCAAUAAGCUGGCAGAAACCACAUUACUAUCUUUCCAGAGACUACGGCUAUAAUCUUUGCCAAUCCAGGGAGCAAGCAAUCCCUCCCUCUGAGUUUGCAGCCUCGACUCAGCCCAUUACAAGCCAAAACUUUCAGCCUAUAUUCAUGUCUCAGCCUGGCUCUGACUUCAUCCAACACCAUGCAAAUGAGUUGCCAACUACAUCCAGGAUGGCAGAUUUUGUGACAGAGGAGCCCAUCUUUCUGGCCAAGUAUGCAACAGAGCACCUGACAGGAAUAAACACCAACUUUCAAGACUCCUUGCAAAACGAACAUGAGAGCCUGGAUGAAUCAGGUCAUAUGAUACCACAAUGGAAGAUAGCAUCCAUCGAAGGACCUCUGGACAAUAUUUUGUCACCAGCUGAGAUGAUACAGGAAGCAAACCAGAAAUGGUUUUCAAUCAGCGAGCAUCUGCCUGAUUCAAACAUGCAGGUCAAGUCAAUAUUGGAGCCAUUUGAUUCUCAGGUGCCAACUAUGGUACCAACAAUGUAUCCAUUUUCGAGUGGAAUUAAUCAUUUUGUGCCAUAUUAUGGCAGGUAUUGGGGAUAA